RNAcentral lists this ribosomal RNA (253 nucleotides) under uncultured bacterium. Its description in RNAcentral is "partial 16S ribosomal RNA". It matches the Rfam family "Bacterial small subunit ribosomal RNA", at positions 524 to 776 of the family's 1533-position model. The record is from RNAcentral.
UACGAAGGGGGCUAGCGUUGCUCGGAAUCACUGGGCGUAAAGCGCGCGUAGGCGGACUCUUAAGUCGGUUGUGAAAUCCUGGAGCUCAACUCCAGAACUGCCUUCGAUACUGAGAGUCUCGAGUCCGGGAGAGGUGAGUGGAACUGCGAGUGUAGAGGUGAAAUUCGUAGAUAUUCGCAAGAACACCAGUGGCGAAGGCAGCUCACUGGCGCGGUACUGACGCUGAGACGCGAAAGCGUGGGGAGCGAACAGG